CCUACGGGUGGCAGCAGUGGGGAAUAUUGCACAAUGGGGGAAACCCUGAUGCAGCAACGCCGCGUGGGUGAAGGAGCGUUUCGGCGCGUAAAGCCCUGUCAGCGGGGAAGAAGAAAGACAGUACCAGACCAAGAAGCCCCGGCUAACUACGUGCCAGCAGCCGCGGUAAUACGUAGGGGGCGAGCGUUAUCCGGAUUUACUGGGUGUAAAGGGAGCGUAGACGGCGGUGCAAGUCAGAUGUGAAAGCCCGGGGCUCAACCCCGGGACUGCAUUUGGAACUGUGCUGCUAGAGUGUCGGAGAGGCAGGCGGAAUUCCUAGUGUAGCGGUGAAAUGCGUAGAUAUUAGGAGGAACACCAGUGGCGAAGGCGGCCUGCUGGACGAUGACUGACGUUGAGGCUCGAAAGCGUGGGGAGCAAACAGGAUUAGAUACCCUUGUAGUC
Molecule: ribosomal RNA, 441 nt
Filed under: uncultured bacterium
Lineage: Bacteria
Description: partial 16S ribosomal RNA
Rfam family: Bacterial small subunit ribosomal RNA
Source: RNAcentral